GACGAACGCUGGCGGCGUGCUUAACACAUGCAAGUCGAACGGAAAGGCCCUGCUUUUGUGGGGUGCUCGAGUGGCGAACGGGUGAGUAACACGUGAGUAACCUGCCCUUGACUUUGGGAUAACGUCAGGAAACUGGGGCUAAUACCGGAUAGGAGCUCCUGCUGCAUGGUGGGGGUUGGAAAGUUUCGGCGGUUGGGGAUGGACUCGCGGCUUAUCAGCUUGUUGGUGGGGUAGUGGCUUACCAAGGCUUUGACGGGUAGCCGGCCUGAGAGGGUGACCGGCCACAUUGGGACUGAGAUACGGCCCAGACUCCUACGGGAGGCAGCAGUGGGGAAUAUUGCACAAUGGGCGGAAGCCUGAUGCAGAAACGCCGCGUGCGGGAUGACGGCCUUCGGGUUGUAAACCGCUUUCGCCUGUGACGAAGCGUGAGUGACGGUAAUGGGUAAAGAAGCACCGGCUAACUACGUG
This 468-nucleotide ribosomal RNA is filed under the name uncultured bacterium. RNAcentral describes it as "partial 16S ribosomal RNA". It matches the Rfam family "Bacterial small subunit ribosomal RNA", at positions 28 to 507 of the family's 1533-position model. The record is from RNAcentral.